This is a microRNA precursor of Oryza sativa Indica Group (long-grained rice), 175 nucleotides long. It matches the Rfam family "MIR812 microRNA precursor family". The record is from Rfam. NCBI's taxonomy places the organism in Eukaryota, Viridiplantae, Streptophyta, Magnoliopsida, Poales, Poaceae.
AAAAAGGCAAACUCUAGGUUUCUGUGUCCAACUUUGACUGUCUGUCUUAUAUGAAAUUUUAUUUAUAAUUUGUAUUUUCAUUGUUGUUAGAUGAUAAAACAUGAUUAAUAUUUUAUGCGUGACAAAUAAGAUGGACGGUCAAACGUUGGACACGGAAACCAGGGUUUGUCUUAUU